Long non-coding RNA from Aptenodytes forsteri (emperor penguin), 589 nucleotides. RefSeq lists it as uncharacterized. The record is from RefSeq and is a predicted model, not a curated record. Lineage: Eukaryota; Metazoa; Chordata; Aves; Sphenisciformes; Spheniscidae. The transcript is spliced from 2 exons.
UUCUGAGGGCCAACCCCCCCUAUCUAGGACUGAAAACACCCAUUUUGGGUUGAAAACCCUGAUUUUGAGGUGAAAAUCCCCCAUUUUGGAGUAGAAGCACUGAAAUCUGUGGGAAAAAAAUCAAUUUGUGGCUGAAAACAAGCAACGAGAAGGCAGAAAAUUGUUGUUUUGUGUGGGAAAUCCCCAAUUCGGGUCUGAAAAUCCCAAAUUUUGCUUUAAGAUUCCUAAAUUUGAGGCUGAAAACCCCAAAUUUGGGGUUCCCGACUUCGUUUCUCCCUCGGAACCUCUCGUUUUGGAGAUGAAAAUGUCAAAUUUGGGGCUGACAAUUACCAUUUUGGUGCCAAGAAAGUGAAUUUUGGGCUGAAAAAUGCCAAUUUUGGGUGAAAAUCCUUAUUUCAGCACCAAGAAAGUGAAUUUUGGGCUGGAAAAUCCCCAUUUUGAGCUGAAAAUUCUCACUUUGGUGCCCAGAAACUGAAUUUGGGGCUGGAAAAUCCUGAUUUUGAGCUGAAAAUGCUCAUUUUGGUACCAGAAGAGUGAAUUUUGGGCUGAAAAAUUCUGAUUUUGAGCUGAAAAUCCUCGUUUUGGUGCC